UUGCGAAAUGAGUAUUUACCUGAGAAAUCAAAACCGAUUGCACGCAUUUCUUCGGCUAUCUUUUGCCAGAUAUUUCCCUUCAAUUUUUCAUCUUUAUAGUCUUUUAAAGACAUGUCGUAAAGAGCAGGAUACGCGCGAAAAGAAUUUAUAAGUGCUUCUUCUAGUGACGCCAUUUUGAAAAUUUUGUCCUAGCGACACAGCGAUUUCAUGUGCUCCAGCGAAUUCGCUGGCUGUGUUGAAACGACACAGCGACACGGCUUUGUAACCGCGCAAUCCCGUCGCUGCGCGGUAACGACAUAGCGACAGCGACAGUGUGUCUCAGCCUUAAAGUUAACAGUUUGUGCGCAUGCAUUGCUAACAACUAUGUUAUACUUGGUUAUACUUCAAACCGUAGACGACUAGCUUCCAUAUUAUUGAUCUUUACGUAUGUGGUAAAUGCGUAUACAGUGUAAUUUUCAAGAAACGUGAAAAUCGUCGUAUUAUUCAACCAAACAAGAUGUGAAUUAUUUUUAUCAAAUUUGAUGAAAACACGAAAAAGAAUUUGAAAGGGGCUAUGAACGCACGUUUCCUACACGACGGUCCGAUUUUGCGUUUUGCCAAAAUCAUAUACUUGAUUUAUGUCGUAUAUUUACCAGAACUAGAGAAGGUUUACUUUGACUGUAUGGUAUAAUCAAGUUUUUGUAUAAAAAGUAUUGAGUACUUAUGAUCUUGUCUGAAGAAACUACCCAAUGGCUAUUCAUAUAUUUGUAUUAUUUAACAAAAUCUUCAUCUUUGAUAAAUAAUGGAUUUACGAAAAUAAAGAUAAGAUUUUUA
Long non-coding RNA from Xenia sp. Carnegie-2017, 813 nucleotides. RefSeq lists it as uncharacterized. The record is from RefSeq and is a predicted model, not a curated record. The transcript is spliced from 2 exons. NCBI's taxonomy places the organism in Eukaryota, Metazoa, Cnidaria, Anthozoa, Malacalcyonacea, Xeniidae.